AAAUUAGUAUCCAUCCCCUUCCUCUCCUCGAUUCCCAAAUCGGUCGAUUCAUCCCCAUCCUCCCCGCACCGGCUCUGCCUUGUCUCCCCACUCCCUGUCCACUCCAAUCCAGCCUCAGGCAGGUCGCCGGCGUCUCCUCCCUCCCUUCCAUUUUGCCCCACAACGCCUCGUCGGCCAGCAAGAACGCCCGCGCGGCCUUCUCCCGACCCGCCCUCCACUGGCACAGCUCCGCGCUCGUCUGAGCGCGCCUGACCACCAACUCCAGAAGCACCGCCGAUUCGAGACUGUUGCGUGACGGAUCAGCCGGUGGAUGCCCAGGUCGGCGAGCAGCGGCUCCACGUCCGCGUCGAGGAGGGCCAGCCGCGCAUCCACCUCAACAUCACCACUGAGGAGUUAGUGGCCCCCCUUUUCGCAGAUGAGCUGACCAGCCCGCAGCUCCCGGCCGGCGCCGUGUCACGAUGAAGUUGCAGUGGGACGUGCUCGGGACUGGUCCUCGUUGUCACGCACGGCGACCUCGCGCGGUGACCUGGGUCGAGGUCAGCUACAUCGCGUUGUAGCUUCUCGAGUCAGGCCUUGCUGGCACACGGACGGGGCAGCGAGGCGUUCAUAGGUUGUGGCCACGGCCCGCAUUGGCCAUCAUGUGGAUGUGCGAAUGCGAGAUUGUUUGAUCCAGCGCCGAGGAGUAUUAAUGUCGCAAGUGCUGAUCCAAUUCAGUCACCGGUCACACCAACCUAGCCUGGUCGUAUCAUGGCAAUCACUCUUCCGGCUGAGCUGAGCUAGGUGUGAUGAUCUCCACCUCUCCUGAUCGUUCACCUUGGCACAUGGUUCGCCCUCAGGAGUUUCUACAUGCACAAUUCCGGGGAGGACAGCAAUACUGUCAUGUGGAGAGUGCAUGCUAUGGUAGAUAUGGUGGCGAUGAGGGCGUCCAGCGGAGCAGAAUGUGUUGUUGUACCAGGUCACCAUUAGGGUAAUCAUAUCGCUGUGGGCCUUGUUCUUUCCGCUACUCAGAACCUGAGGUAACCAAAAAGAAGGAUCAGUUUAUAUUGCUGAAAAAUUUAUUUGAUCAAUAUACUGCAGCUUGCAAUACAAAACACACAUGGCUGAAAAUUGGGUAGUGUUGCUGGAACCCGGAGGCGUCCAUCUCCAGGAAGGCUACAGAGCAGAAGACGUAGAGAUUCCACAGCAGGUUGCGUGUGUUCCAGUGACCAAGACAGAUGCUGUGUCCAAGAUCGUCGAGCCUGUAAUGAUGUCUGCCAAUGUGAUGGCAUGGAUGCAUGGAUGGCUGCGUCCAAGAUCGCCGAGCCUGUCGGUAGAUGAUGUCUGCCAAUGUGAUGGCAUGGAUGGCAUCGCCAGACCACCUGAGCCAGCCGAUCGCACCUCCACCGCAGGACAGUAAGGUCGCCGGCCCCGGCUUGCGGCUGCUCCACCCCAAGGU
Molecule: long non-coding RNA, 1435 nt
Organism: Lolium rigidum
Lineage: Eukaryota; Viridiplantae; Streptophyta; Magnoliopsida; Poales; Poaceae
Exons: 3
Source: RefSeq, a predicted model, not a curated record